UACAUAGGAACAUACCCAGUCUUGGGGGAUAACGCCGAUGAAUCGGGGCUAUUACCGCAUUCGCCCUACGGGGGAAAGCGGGGGAUCUUCGGACCUCGCGUUAUUGGAUUGGCCUAUGUCUGAUUAGCUAGUUGGUGAGGUAAAGGCUCACGAUCGCGACGAUCACCUCCUGGUCUGAGAGGAUGAUCAUCCACACUGGAACUGAGACGCGGUCCAUACUCCUACGGGAGGCAACAGUGGGGAAUUUUGGACAAUGGGCGAAAGCCUGAUCCAUCCAUUCCGCGUGAGUGAAAAAGGCCUUCGGGUUGUAGAGCUCUUUCUGGAGGAAGGAAAUGGUUGCGGUUAAUAACCGCGACUUCUGACGGUGCCUGAAUAAGAAGCACCGGCUAACUACGUG
RNAcentral lists this ribosomal RNA (397 nucleotides) under uncultured beta proteobacterium. RNAcentral's name for it is "bacterial SSU rRNA". It matches the Rfam family "Bacterial small subunit ribosomal RNA", at positions 114 to 507 of the family's 1533-position model. The record is from RNAcentral. Lineage: Bacteria; Pseudomonadati; Pseudomonadota; Betaproteobacteria.